This 208-nucleotide ribosomal RNA is filed under the name uncultured bacterium. RNAcentral's name for it is "partial 16S ribosomal RNA". It matches the Rfam family "Bacterial small subunit ribosomal RNA", at positions 568 to 774 of the family's 1533-position model. The record is from RNAcentral.
CUCGUAGGCGGUUCAGUAAGUUGGGUGUGAAAGCUCCGGGCUCAACCCGGAGAGGCCACUCAAUACUGCUGUGACUAGAGUCCAGUAGAGGAGCGUGGAACUCCUGGUGUAGCGGUGAAAUGCGCAGAUAUCAGGAAGAACACCGGCAGCGAAGGCGGCGUUCUGGGCUGGUACUGACGCUGAGGAGCGAAAGCAUGGGUAGCAAACA